This 554-nucleotide ribosomal RNA is filed under the name Staphylococcus succinus. RNAcentral's name for it is "bacterial SSU rRNA". It matches the Rfam family "Bacterial small subunit ribosomal RNA", at positions 48 to 584 of the family's 1533-position model. The record is from RNAcentral. Lineage: Bacteria; Bacillati; Bacillota; Bacilli; Caryophanales; Staphylococcaceae.
CUAAUACAUGCAAGUCGAGCGAACGGAUAAGGAGCUUGCUCCUUUGAAGUUAGCGGCGGACGGGUGAGUAACACGUGGGUAACCUACCUAUAAGACUGGAAUAACUUCGGGAAACCGGAGCUAAUGCCGGAUAACAUAUAGAACCGCAUGGUUCUAUAGUGAAAGAUGGUUUUGCUAUCACUUAUAGAUGGACCCGCGCCGUAUUAGCUAGUUGGUAAGGUAAUGGCUUACCAAGGCGACGAUACGUAGCCGACCUGAGAGGGUGAUCGGCCACACUGGAACUGAGACACGGUCCAGACUCCUACGGGAGGCAGCAGUAGGGAAUCUUCCGCAAUGGGCGAAAGCCUGACGGAGCAACGCCGCGUGAGUGAUGAAGGUUUUCGGAUCGUAAAACUCUGUUAUUAGGGAAGAACAAAUGCGUAAGUAACUGUGCGCAUCUUGACGGUACCUAAUCAGAAAGCCACGGCUAACUACGUGCCAGCAGCCGCGGUAAUACGUAGGUGGCAAGCGUUAUCCGGAAUUAUUGGGCGUAAAGCGCGCGUAGGCGGUUUCUU